GUAAAUAAACAAUAAAAAUGUACUUACCAAGAUGUCUUAAUUAGUUUAAGCACUAUUGCUCAAUCACAGUAAUAUACUGAGCACAGUCAUUCUAUUUUAUAGAGGGGAAAUUAGGGUUAAGAAAGGCUACCACAAGGAGGUGUUGUUUUGUAGCUUGAAUAUGAAAACCAGUCAGAACAAGUCAAAGAACGGCAACACCCAUCCUGCUGUACUCCUUUACCCAACGCCACAUACAUUGUUCAGUGUGUUUGUUUGCUGUAGAGAGGUGUGUCAAUAGCACAGAAUACAUUUGUAGAAUUUUGCCUUUAUGUGUUCUGCUGCCACACCUUCUGACUCUGAGACCAUUCUCCCUACCUCAUUGGAGCUCAGUGGAGAGGGGAAACCUGGAGAGAGAGAGAGAGAGAGGGGAAAGAAACCUUUUACACAUUACAUUCACACAGAAACAGUUCUGCUGCCACACCUUCUGACUCUGAGACCAUUCUCCCUAC
Non-coding RNA from Oncorhynchus mykiss (rainbow trout), 488 nucleotides. NCBI's taxonomy places the organism in Eukaryota, Metazoa, Chordata, Actinopteri, Salmoniformes, Salmonidae. The record is from RefSeq and is a predicted model, not a curated record.